RNAcentral lists this small nuclear RNA (107 nucleotides) under Capra hircus (goat). The record is from RNAcentral. Lineage: Eukaryota; Metazoa; Chordata; Mammalia; Artiodactyla; Bovidae.
GUGCUCACUUCGGUAGCACAUGUACUAAAAUUAGAACGAUACAGAGAAGAUUAGCAUGGCCCCUGUGCAAGGAUGACACGCAAAUUCGUGAAGCAUUCCAUAUUUUU